Medicago truncatula (barrel medic) is the source of this 2156-nucleotide long non-coding RNA. RefSeq lists it as uncharacterized. Lineage: Eukaryota; Viridiplantae; Streptophyta; Magnoliopsida; Fabales; Fabaceae. The record is from RefSeq and is a predicted model, not a curated record. The transcript has 5 exons.
AUUCUCAUUUUAUUUUUCCUAUUUAAACCAGCCUAUCCUUUGUUUGGUUUCCACGUUCAAACUCUUGUUGUAAAUUCAUCACAAUCUCUAUUCCCACCAUCUUUUGCAAAUCACUAAAAAUCAAAACACAAACUUUUCUAUUUCACCCCAACAUCACCAUCUCUACAAAACUUUCAUAUACAAAAGCAGCCACUGCCUAGUUAAGUGCCAUUCAAGAAUGUAGGAGCCGAGCCUCUGACGAGGUGGUGGAGAACACAACAUUGUUCAAGUUGCACUAGGAGGAGAGGUGUGAAAAAUGAUCACCGAAGUAUGGAGAUACGACAGAGUGAAGCAACCUUGGGCAUGGGUGGAAUUGGAAAAUAGCGGAAAUGAACCUGUGUUUUCGAUAAUAAGGUCUGAAUUUCAAUGUCUUGCUCCUGGAGGUUAUGUUGGAAGACAAAUAAUAAAGAUGAUGGCUAUGAGGAUUACAUGAGCUCAAAAGCGUGCAUUGAGCCAGAGCCUGUGGUGUUUACCACCCUCAUUUGAGGAAAUUGCAUCCCCGGGGCAAUACCUUGAUCGACCGGAAGAGCCAUUGAAUGAUAAAGUUCAGUUGAGUGGUCAUCAUUGACGUUGCGCAUGGACCUUGGUGGAUUGUAAGAAGCUUUGAUUGGUAAAAUUGGUAGUUGUGGCAGAUCGUCGUCUUCAUAUUCUUCGUUCUCAUCACCGUUUUGUGCGGCAAGGAGUUCUUCAUCAUCUUGAACUUCAUCAUUUCGUUGGUCAUGGAAUUGGGAGGUAAAUAUAUCGAUUUCAUCGUUUAAAAUUUCGGGUUGUGUUGAACGGGAUGGUGUUUGAGAGGGAUGAGGUUGAGUUAUUCUUUGUGAUGGUUCGUACACAUUUUGUGACCACUGUGACUGAAAAGGUUGGGAUAAGGAUGCAUCAUAAAUGGAUGACGGGUUGUAGUAUGGUUCAGACGAUGACGGGUUGUAGUGUUGUGUGCUAUAUUGUUGUUGUAGUAGACUUUGGUGUUGACUAGAACUUGAUGGGUAAUUUAACUCAAAAUUAGAUGUUGGAUUCUUCAUGUCAAAUGUAACAUAAAACUCUAUAUAGGACAAAGAACUGUGACUUUUAUGUACGUUAAACAUAAACUCGAAAUCGUCGUUAUCAGUUAUUCUUAACGCCUGGUAGUGAAUUGUGGUAGUUCCAACAAACAUGGGAUUCCGGCAUAUAAUUUCAGACACAACCAUAUUAUCUCCGAGACAUAAUUUUUCCACUAUUCUUUUUUUGAGAUGCAAGUAAGUACUAGCCAUGCUCACUUUCAAACCUUUGGUAUACUGACUUUGGAAAAAAUGUCGGAUUCAUUUUGUUUAACUUCUCCAUUGUAGUACAUAAAAACGUUUAUAUUUGGUGCCAUUGAAUGGUUUGGUCUUAAGAAAUGAGUAAGAGUAUGAAGUAGAGUGGUGUGAUACAAUCAUAAUAUGUAGACCACUUUUAUAAUAACACGUAACUGCAGACCACUUCUCCAUUCGAUAAGCGGGAAAAUUGAAAAAAAACUAGAACGCAAUCUUGACUUGCGGGGUAGCUGCCACACGCGCCAGCUGUAGGGGGUACCACGCAACUCCGACUUGCGGGGUACAUAACGCACGCGCCAGCUGCAGGGUAGGCCGCUAUCUGGAGUGGCGGGGUAGUAAGGACACGCGCCUCACUAUUGGCUCUUCAGAGGCAGCAUGUCGGUCCUUUGGGAGCUAGCACCAUGCACGUGAUUUAGCAUGUUUUGGUCAUUUCAGUCAAAAAUUUCUUGCAGAAAUUAAUGCAUUUUUUACAUGCAAUGGUCAUUUCUAUAUUUAUUUGAACACUGUUGGCUUGCAUGCGUUGCAGUAGUAACACAUGAAUUCUUCACUUCACUGAUUAAAAUACCACACUACUAUUUCCACCAUUUACACAUAGUUUAACAUUAUAAAUACCACACCUAUAUUCUUACUCUUUACACAUAUUCUACUUAUAUCAAUCCUUUUCUUCCUUACUCACUCACAUAACAAAUUAUUUCAAACAACUUGUGGUUGGAAAAUGAUCAUAGAUCCAUGGAAGAACACAUCAGAAGAUGGGUAUAUAUGAAUAUUAAUUUGUUAAUUUUACUUUCAUUUUUUAAAUUACUUAUUAUAUCUUCUCUUUUUAUUUUU